GAUGAACGCUAGCUACAGGCUUAACACAUGCAAGUCGAGGGGCAGCACAGUGUAGCAAUACACGGGUGGCGACCGGCGCACGGGUGCGUAACGCGUAUCCAACCUUCCCGUUACUCUUGGAUAGCCUUCCGAAAGGGAGAUUAAUACAAGAUGGUAUUCAAAUUCCGCAUGUUAUUUGAAUUAAAGAUUAAUCGGUAACGGAUGGGGAUGCGUGACAUUAGAUAGUAGGCGGGGUAACGGCCCACCAUGGCGACGAUGUCUAGGGGUUCUGAGAGGAAGGUCCCCCANACUGGAACUGAGACACGGUCCAGACUCCUACGGGACGGCUAGCAGUCGAGGAAUAUUGGUCAAUGGUCUGACGACUGAACCAGCCAUGCCGCGUGAAGGUCACGGCCCUAUGGGUCUUAAACUUCUUUUGUAAGGGAGCAAUAAGUCUCACGUGUGGGAUGAUGAGAGUACCUUACGAAUAAGCAUCGGCU
This 479-nucleotide ribosomal RNA is filed under the name uncultured bacterium. RNAcentral's name for it is "bacterial SSU rRNA". It matches the Rfam family "Bacterial small subunit ribosomal RNA", at positions 28 to 498 of the family's 1533-position model. The record is from RNAcentral.